Molecule: ribosomal RNA, 278 nt
Filed under: uncultured bacterium
Lineage: Bacteria
Description: partial 16S ribosomal RNA
Rfam family: Bacterial small subunit ribosomal RNA
Source: RNAcentral
GACGAAGGGGGCUAGCGUUGUUCGGAAUUACUGGGCGUAAAGCGAGUGUAGGUGGUUGUCCAAGUUGGAUGUGAAAGCCUUGAGCUCAACUCAAGAAAUGCAUUCAGGACUGGAUGACUAGAGGACCGGAGAGGAUAGUGGAAUUCCCAGUGUAGUGGUGAAAUACGUAGAGAUUGGGAAGAACACCAGUGGCGAGGGCGGCUAUCUGGACGGUUUCUGACACUAAGACUCGAAAGCGUGGGGAGCAAACAGGAUUAGAACCGGUACCGGUCCGUCCG